Molecule: long non-coding RNA, 624 nt
Organism: Gallus gallus (chicken)
Lineage: Eukaryota; Metazoa; Chordata; Aves; Galliformes; Phasianidae
Exons: 4
Source: RefSeq, a predicted model, not a curated record
GGUGACACAGCACUGGCACUGGUUACACAGAGAAGCUGAGGAGUCUCCUCUUUGAAGAGAAAGCAACGCAGAAGAACAGAAGUGAAGACAAACACCCUGAAGGUGAUAAAUGAAGAGAUUGAAAAAGUGAACUGCUACAGAAUUCUGAUGAGCAAGCUCUUUCUUGCUUCAGCAAGAAAAAAAACGAAGACUGCAGCUGAUUUCCAUGAAACAGACUGCAGCUGGAAAUCAGCUUAUUAAAAAUGAACUGUUAAAUAAAAGACACUCUCAUAGUACCUAUUUUUCUGUGAGCGAGGGCUGAGUCACCCUGACCUGCCUCACUGGAAGUCCUUUAAAGACACUAAGGCUUACAAGGCGAGCAGAAGUAAACACAAAGAAAUAGCAACAGAAUGAGACAUUAAAUCACAGAAGCAUUCUUUCCUGUUGCACGGGAAACUGUUACACAUGAGAUAAAGCAGUAUUACACAGAAUUGCAGGGGCUGGAAGGGACCUCGCGUGAUCAUCAAGAUACCACAAAGCCAUGGUACCGUAGAUUAGUGAAGACUAUUUCCAUUGUGUUUCAUAGUACACUGAGGCAUCGCCAUUUUUCAGGCUCUCUCCUUUCUGGACACACUUUGUAGUGGG